GGUGGCUGGAGGAUCAGGGCACCCAUGGGUGGCCCUAUGGGGUGGCUGCAUGGUCGACAAAGGCAUGAGUGACUCUAUAGGGUGCUUGUAGGGUCACGGCACCCAUGGGUGGCCCUAUGGGGUGGCUGGAGGGUCAGGGCACCCAUGGGUGGCCCUAUGGGGUGGCUGGAGGGUCAGGGCACCCAUGGGUGGCCCUAUGGGUGGCUGGAGGAUCAGGGCACCCAUGGGUGGCCCUAUGGGGUGGCUGCAUGGUCGACAAAGGCAUGAGUGACUCUAUAGGGUGCUUGUAGGGUCACGGCACCCAUGGGUGGCCCUAUGGGGUGGCUGGAGGGUCAGGGCACCCAUGGGUGGCCCUAUGGGGUGGCUGGAGGGUCAGGGCACCCAUGGGUGGCCCUAUGGAGUGGCUGGAGGGUCAGGGCACCCAUGGGUGCCUCUAUGGGGUGGCUGCAGGGUCGACAAAGGCAUGAGUGGCUCUAUGGGGUGCUUGUAGGGUCACGGCACCCAUGGGUGGCCCUAUGGGUGGCUGGAGGAUCAGGGCACCCAUGGGUGGCCCUAUGGGGUGGCUGCAGGGGCACAGCACCCAUGGGUGGCCCUAUGGGGUGGCUGGAGGGUCAGGGCACCCAUGGGUGGCCCUAUGGGGUGGCUGGAGGGUCAGGGCACCCAUGGGUGGCCCUAUGGGGUGGCUGGAGGGUCAGGGCACCCAUGGGUGGCCCUAUGGGUGGCUGGAGGGUCAGGGCACCCAUGGGUGGCCCUAUGGGUGGCUGGAGGGUCAGGGCACCCAUGGGUGGCCCUAUGGGUGGCUGGAGGGUCAGGGCACCCAUGGGUGGCCCUAUGGGUGGCUGGAGGGUCAUUUCCUCCAUGGGAGCCCCUAUAGGGUGUCUAUGUGUGCCCCCACCCAUGGGUGCCCUGAUGACCCCC
Tympanuchus pallidicinctus (lesser prairie-chicken) is the source of this 918-nucleotide long non-coding RNA. RefSeq lists it as uncharacterized. The transcript has 3 exons. The record is from RefSeq and is a predicted model, not a curated record. NCBI's taxonomy places the organism in Eukaryota, Metazoa, Chordata, Aves, Galliformes, Phasianidae.